AUAGCCAAGGCUAUUGCAAGUCUCACAAGAUGCCGUCUAUCACCACUGCCAAGCGCGAGUACGAGGAGCGCCUCGUCGACUGCCUGACCAAGUACAGCUGCGUGCUGUUCGUGGGCAUGGACAACGUCCGCUCGCAGCAGGUGCACGAUGUGCGCCGUGCGCUGCGCGGCAAGGCCGAGUUCAUUAUGGGCAAGAAGACGCUGCAGGCGAAGAUCGUGGAGAAGCGCGCGCAAGCCAAGGACGCGAGCCCCGAGGCGAAGCGCUUCAACGAUCAGUGUGAGGAGUACAACCUGCUGAGCGGCAACACCGGCCUCAUCUUCACUAACAACGCUGUCCAGGAGAUCACCUCUGUGCUUGACGCGCACCGCGUGAAGGCCCCGGCGCGUGUCGGAGCGAUUUCCCCGUGCGACGUGGUUGUGCCUGCUGGCAGCACCGGCAUGGAGCCGACCCAGACGUCCUUCUUCCAGGCGCUGAACAUUGCGACGAAGAUUGCCAAGGGUAUGGUGGAGAUCGUGACGGAGAAGAAGGUGCUGAGCGUCGGCGACAAGGUGGACAACUCGACGGCGACGCUGCUGCAAAAGCUGAACAUCAGCCCGUUCUACUACCAGGUGAAUGUGCUGUCCGUGUGGGACCGCGGUGUGCUGUUCACCCGCGAGGACCUCAUGAUGACGGAGGACAUGGUGGAGAAGAUUCUGAUGGAAGGCCUGAGCAACGUUGCGGCGAUGGCGCUGGGUGCUGGCAUCCCGACGUCUUCGACGAUUGGCCCGAUGCUGGUGGACGCCUUCAAGAACCUGCUGGCUGUCUCCGUGGCGACCUCGUACGAGUUCGAGGAGCACAACGGCAAGGAGCUGCGCGAGGCCGCGAUCAACGGCCUGCUGGCCGGCUCUGGCUCGGCUGCUGCGGAGCCCGCCGCUGCCGCGCCGGCCGCCCCUAGCGCUGCUGCCAAGGAGGAGCCGGAGGAGAGCGACGAGGACGACUUCGGCAUGGGCGGUCUCUUCUAAGCGACUCGCUAUCCGCCACCCAGCACCGUCGAGUGUUCGUGCGUUCGCAUGGUGGACAGUGGCGAGCGUGUGAUGCCCUUGGAUCAUCAGGAAGCAACUCUCUCCCUUUCUCUGGGUGUUCUUCGUUUCUUCUUUCAUUUGUUUUUGAUCGCCGUGCGCCGCUGCGGCGAUCGCUCAGUUCUUAUUUUCGAUCAACCAACAACGAAGGAGACGACAGCAGACACGCGACACAUCUUCACGGAGGAAAGGGACGACGUACUAGCCGACAUGGUGAGCAAACCAUGCUGCAGCGGACCCUUGGGUGUGCCUGUACGUGCCGCACGCGCCCCACGAGAUGACAGGGAGUGCUGUGUACGUGUGCGCGUGUGGGAGGGGGAUGGCGGUGUGCUAGUGCUGCCCAGCUGCGCGAUGUGCUUCUUUUUCCCUCAGCUGACCCACGCUCGUGCGGCUGCUGAUGGGGUACGCACGUCGCCCGCGUUGGCCCUUCCUCACCCCUCCUCCUCCUUCACAAGAGCGUGCAUUGUGUCGCAGCUGCCCACUCAAUGCACGGUAGCUCAUUCUCCGUCUCGCUCUCUGUCGAUGUGCUGCCAUGACGUGCACGUAACAGAGAACUGAUGAUGGGACGGGGGCAAGGGCGAGAGGGGCUAGCAGGCACCAGGCGUGUGCGCGUACGCUCGUGCGUGUUGUCCCGCGUGCCGAAGCAAGGCUCUCUCGCAGACCGUAUUCAAGAUGCAACCCUGCGCACAUGCCUCUGUGGCUUGCAGCACAGAAAAUGAUGUGUCUACCGCUUCGUUCUCCCCUUUCAUCCUCUUGCUUUUUGAAAUUCCUUUUUUUUCGCGUGCCUGCUCCUCCUCGCGAUACGCGGCACGCCUCCACCUCACUCGCUGUGGUGACUUCC
This 1899-nucleotide unclassified non-coding RNA is filed under the name Leishmania donovani. RNAcentral describes it as "gene:LdHU3.27.2000(CDS-product:60S_acidic_ribosom al_protein_P0_putative)". Lineage: Eukaryota; Euglenozoa; Kinetoplastea; Trypanosomatida; Trypanosomatidae. The record is from RNAcentral.